CCUACGGGAGGCAGCAGUAGGGAAUCUUCCACAAUGGGCGAAAGCCUGAUGGAGCAACGCCGCGUGGGUGAAGAAGGUCUUCGGAUCGUAAAACUCUGUUGUUAGAGAAGAAAGUGCGUGAGAGUAACUGUUCACGUUUCGACGGUAUCUAACCAGAAAGCCACGGCUAACGACGUGCCAGCAGCCGCGGUAAUACGUAGGUGGCAAGCGUUAUCCGGAUUUAUUGGGCGUAAAGGGAACGCAGGCGGUCUUUUAAGUCUGAUGUGAAAGCCUUCGGCUUAACCGGAGUAGUGCAUUGGAAACUGGGAGACUUGAGUGCAGAAGAGGAGAGUGGAACUCCAUGUGUAGCGGUGAAAUGCGUAGAUAUAUGGAAGAACACCAGUGGCGAAGGCGGCUCUCUGGUCUGUAACUGACGCUGAGGUUCGAAAGCGUGGGUAGCAAACAGGAUUAGAUACCCGAGUAGUC
RNAcentral lists this ribosomal RNA (465 nucleotides) under uncultured bacterium. RNAcentral's name for it is "partial 16S ribosomal RNA". It matches the Rfam family "Bacterial small subunit ribosomal RNA", at positions 338 to 795 of the family's 1533-position model. The record is from RNAcentral.